UUGAGUUCGAUUAAGAUUUUUUAGUAAGGAUUCAAGGGCUCUCUGAGCUUGAGUAGCGUGUAACUACUAAGGGUCAGCUACUAAGCGGGUAAACUAUGUUUUAAAUUACGUAGCUAGGUCACUGCGGCAAAUAAAAAAAUGGGCCUCACUGCUAUCAAAACUGUUGGAGCAUGAAUUCAAAAGAAAUGAUAUAUACUCAUAAAAAUUUGAAUAACUUGUAAUGUAUGUACAUGAGACCGAAGGAGUGUUUAAUGUUCGCUUUCCUGUCCGUCCAGAAUGUCGAAAGUAUAUUCGUGAGCUAAUUCAGAAAUUUAUCGAGACGGAUAGUGUUGCCAGUAGGUAGAAUCCAGGGCAUAGCAGCUGUCCAGAAAAAAAACAAGUGGAUAUUAUAGCAUUUAUGUGACGAAUGUACUUUUUUUUGGAAUGGUUUGUGGUCUAUGUGGACAAAAUGUCCGUUAUUGGAGCGACGUAAAUCCCCACAUAUUUUAUGAAACACAUACAUAAUACCCAGAAAAAGUAAAUGUGGGCUGGCAUAUUAGGGAAUCACAUUAAUGGACCUCUUAAAAUUUGACAAGGGUUCACGUGUUGCAAAAUGCAGUAAAACCACUGAUCUUUAAGAUUAUUCGAGACAAUCCCUUAGCAAAAUUAAAGACGACUACUUAAAUGGAAAUAAAGAAAAUUAAUAACCAUCGUUACAUAAAUAGCUUUUGUUUUAAAAUAUGUCAAAAAAUCCAUUGUUUUGCACAAUUUAAUUUUUUCUUCCUUUUUAAAAAUAAGCCUGCCUAUUUGCAUAAUACAAUAUCGAAACAAGUUUACUGAGAAUUCAGUUUGAAUUUUCAAUACCUUAUAUUUGCUAAAUAUUUUACACAAAGUAUG
Anthonomus grandis grandis is the source of this 876-nucleotide long non-coding RNA. RefSeq lists it as uncharacterized. The record is from RefSeq and is a predicted model, not a curated record. Lineage: Eukaryota; Metazoa; Arthropoda; Insecta; Coleoptera; Curculionidae. The transcript has 3 exons.